AAAAAAGGUAAGCUACUAAGAGCAAAUGGUGGAUGCCUUGGCUAGUAGAGGCGAUGAAAGACGUGCCAGGCUGCGAUAAGUCUCGGGGAGCCGUCAAGGGGCUUUGAUCCGGGAAUUUCUGAAUGGGGCAACCCAGUAUAUAGUGAUAUAUACUACCGCAAUGCGGAGCUAACGUUGGGAAUUGAAACAUCUUAGUACCAACAGGAAAAGAAAUCAAAAGAGAUUACGCUAGUAGCGGCGAGCGAACGCGUAAGAGGGCAAACCGUUAGUUUACUAACGGGGUUGUAGGACUGCAACAUAGACUUAAACAAACUAAUAGAAUAACCUGGAAAGGUUGACCAUAGAGGGUGAUAGUCCCGUAUAUGAAAGUGCGUUUAUACUUAGCAGUAUCCUGAGUAGGGCGGGACACGUGAAAUCCUGUCUGAAGCUGGGGAGACCACUCUCCAACCCUAAAUACUACUACUAGACCGAUAGUGCACAAGUACCGUGAGGGAAAGGUGAAAAGAACUGAGGUGAUCAGAGUGAAAUAGAACCUGAAACCAUUUGCUUACAAUCAUUCAGAGCACGAUUCUUUAUGACGUGUGAUGGACUGCCUUUUGCAUAAUGAGCCUGCGAGUUGUGGUGUCUGGCGAGGUUAAGGAAACCCGGAGCCGUAGCGAAAGCGAGUCUUAAUAGGGCGUAUAGUCAGAUGCUGCAGACCCGAAACGAUGUGAUCUAUCCAUGAGCAGGUUGAAACUGGUGUAAGAGCCAGCGGAGGACCGAACAGACGGCCGUUGAAAAGGCUCCUGAUGACUUGUGGAUAGGGGUGAAAGGCCAAUCAAACAUCGUGAUAGCUGGUUCUCUCCGAAAUAUAUUUAGGUAUAGCGUUGUGUCGUAAUUAUAAGGGGUAGAGCACUGAAUGGGCUAGGGCAUAUACCAAUGUACCAAACCCUAUCAAACUCCGAAUACUUAUAAUGUAAUCACAGCAGUCAGGCGGCGAGUGAUAAAAUCCGUCGUCAAGAGGGGAACAACCCAGACUAACAGCUAAGGUCCCUAAAUCUCAUUUAAGUGGAAAACGAUGUGGAGUUACUGAAACAACCAGGAGGUUGGCUUAGAAGCAGCCAUCCUUUAAAGAAAGCGUAAUAGCUCACUGGUCUAGUGAUUCUGCGCGGAAAAUAUAACGGGGCUAAAAUGAGUACCGAAGCUUUAGACUUGCACUUAAUUCUAAUUAUAAAUUUGGCUAUGAGCUUUUAAGUUAUAUUUCUCAUAAUUUAAUUGCACUCAUAUAAAUUAAAUUAUGAGAAAAUAGUUUAGCUAAAAUAAUUAGAAGUAGUUAGAAUUAAGUGCAAGUGGUAGGAGAGCGUUCUAUUCAGCGUUGAAGGUAUACCGGUAAGGAGUACUGGAGCGGAUAGAAGUGAGCAUGCAGGCAUGAGUAGCGAUAAUUGAUGUGAGAAUCAUCAACGCCGAAAACCCAAGGUUUCCUACGCGAUGCUCGUCAUCGUAGGGUUAGUCGGGUCCUAAGCAAAGUCCGAAAGGGGUAUGCGAUGGAAAAUUGGUUAAUAUUCCAAUACCAAUUAUUAUGUGCGAUGGAAGGACGCUUAAAGUUAGUGGAGCUAGCGGAUGGAAGUGCUAGUCUAAGGGUGUAGGUUGAGUUAUAGGCAAAUCCGUAACUCUUUAUCCGAGACCUAAAAGGCUCAUGACGCUCUUCGGAGUAGAUUGAGAAUCCAUGAUACUAUCGAGCCAAGAAAAGUUUCUAAGUUUAGUAAUAAUUGCCCGUACCGUAAACCGACACAGGUGGGUGGGAUGAGUAUUCUAAGGCGCGUGGAAGAACUCUCUUUAAGGAACUCUGCAAAAUAGCACCGUAUCUUCGGUAUAAGGUGUGCCUAACUUUGUAUUAAGAUUCACUCCCAAAGCAAAGAAGGUUACAACAAAGAGUCCCUCCCGACUGUUUACCAUAAACACAGCACUCUGCUAACACGUAAGUGGAUGUAUAGGGUGUGACGCCUGCCCGGUGCUCGAAGGUUAAUUGAUGAUGUUAGCUCUGCGAAGCAUUUGAUCGAAGCCCGAGUAAACGGCGGCCGUAACUAUAACGGUCCUAAGGUAGCGAAAUUCCUUGUCGGUUAAAUACCGACCUGCAUGAAUGGCGUAACGAGAUGGGAGCUGUCUCAAAGAGGGAUCCAGUGAAAUUGUAGUGGAGGUGAAAAUUCCUCCUACCCGCGGCAAGACGGAAAGACCCCGUGGACCUUUACUACAGCUUGACACUGCUAUUUGGAUAAAGAUGCGCAGGAUAGGUGGGAGGCUUUGAUCUAUAGACCCUGGUUUAUAGUGAGCCAUUGUUGAGAUACCACUCUUCUUUAUUCGGGUAGCUAACUAGCCUAAGUUAUCCUUAGGUAGGACAAUGUCUGGUGGGUAGUUUGACUGGGGCGGUCGCCUCCCAAAAUGUAACGGAGGCUUACAAAGGUUGGCUCAGAACGGUUGGAAAUCGUUCGUAGAGUAUAAAGGCAUAAGCCAGCUUAACUGCAAGACAUACACGUCAAGCAGAGACGAAAGUCGGUCUUAGUGAUCCGGUGGUUCUGUGUGGAAGGGCCAUCGCUCAAAGGAUAAAAGGUACCCCGGGGAUAACAGGCUGAUCUCCCCCAAGAGCUCACAUCGACGGGGAGGUUUGGCACCUCGAUGUCGGCUCAUCGCAUCCUGGGGCUGGAGCAGGUCCCAAGGGUAUGGCUGUUCGCCAUUUAAAGCGGUACGCGAGCUGGGUUCAGAACGUCGUGAGACAGUUCGGUCCCUAUCUGCCGUGGGCGUAAGAAGAUUGAGGAGAGUUGACCCUAGUACGAGAGGACCGGGUCGAACUAGCCACUGGUGUACCAGUUGUUCUGCCAAGAGCAUCGCUGGGUAGCUAAGCUAGGAUGAGAUAAGAGCUGAAAGCAUCUAAGCUCGAAGCCAACUCCAAGAUGAAUCUUCUUUUAAGAGCUCUAGUAGACUACUAGUUUGAUAGGCUGGGUGUGUAAUGGAUGAAAGUCCUUUAGCUGACCAGUACUAAUAGCUCGUUUGCUUAUCUUUAUAUAAGCAUCACUUC
RNAcentral lists this ribosomal RNA (3052 nucleotides) under Campylobacter fetus. RNAcentral describes it as "23S ribosomal RNA". It matches the Rfam family "Bacterial large subunit ribosomal RNA". The record is from RNAcentral. Lineage: Bacteria; Pseudomonadati; Campylobacterota; Epsilonproteobacteria; Campylobacterales; Campylobacteraceae.